CAGCUGCCGUUCUAUAACAAGGAGAACCCUAACCCCAGUUCAUCACACCUAGAAUCAGAAACGUCGACCCCUUCUAACGUAUGUAACAGUCCGGGCUUUAAGGUAACUCCUCGCCCUUGUCGUUUGGUAUUUCAGAAGUGUGAAUUUGUGCGUUAUUUAUAUUAUAACGCCGCUGUGUGUUGCUGUGAUUCAUUGUUUGAUUAAUUGUGAGGCGGGGCUUGAGUGGAGGAGAGAUCUGGAUUACCUCAGAACAAAGACACCGUGGGAUAAUGAGGAAGAGAUCCGGAGCUUUGAUGAGGGCGAUUACCCUUGGGAUACGCACUGAAGAAGGAUUUGCGUAGGUGGCGUACAGUAGAACUGAAAAAAAGGCUGUUGUUGUUCUGUAGGCGAUGAGUGAUGCAGACCCUAACCGAUAUUGUGUUGUUGGUGCUUUGUUACUUUAAUUAGAUACGAACUGAGAGUUUAUUGUUGAAAAAUCCAGUAUCAUGGAAUGAGCAAUUUAACACAGAAGAGCAGCUCCAAAAUUGAUUAGGCGGCUCGUGGUUCCCUCGUUCUAUACCUCUUCACGAAUCGGUUAUUAAUAUAGUAACUUUUGUUGGGUAUAAAGCUAUCCUGGAUUACAAUAAAUUUUUUCAUUUCGAACUCCAAUUAAUAGUUUCUUGACAAAAAAAAAAAUCACUCAGAACUUGGUUAAAUUGCAUUCAUUCCAGUUCAACUUAGUACAUGAAUAAAAAGUCGUUAGAACAGAGAA
This is a long non-coding RNA of Arachis stenosperma, 751 nucleotides long. RefSeq lists it as uncharacterized. The record is from RefSeq and is a predicted model, not a curated record. The transcript is spliced from 3 exons. NCBI's taxonomy places the organism in Eukaryota, Viridiplantae, Streptophyta, Magnoliopsida, Fabales, Fabaceae.